RNAcentral lists this ribosomal RNA (1381 nucleotides) under Xenotrichula velox. RNAcentral's name for it is "partial 28S ribosomal RNA". It matches the Rfam family "Eukaryotic large subunit ribosomal RNA", at positions 100 to 817 of the family's 3401-position model. Lineage: Eukaryota; Metazoa; Gastrotricha; Chaetonotida; Xenotrichulidae. The record is from RNAcentral.
GGGAUAAGCCCAGCACCGAAGCCGAUGGAAUAUUUUCAUACGGCAAUGUGGUGUUUCAGCGUUGCAGCUGCUGGUAUGCACGGUCGUCUAAUUCGUCUUGAUUGCUCUUGCCCAUCGAGGGUGAAAGUCCUUUUGAGACGGCAUUCGUAUGCAUGCCAUGCUUUGCAAUGCUGUUGAGUCGGGCUGCUUGAAAAAGCAGCCUAAAGUAGGUGGUAAACAUCACCGAAGGCUAAAUAUGUGCGCGGGACCGAUAGUUCACAAGUACCGUGAGGGAAAGUUGAAAAGAACUCUGAAAAGAGGGUUAAAAGUACGUGAAACCGCUAACAGGUAAACGGGCAACGUCCGCAAGUCCUCCAAGAAAAUCCAUGCCUUCCCAGCUUCAUUUUACUUGAUCUCGGUUUGUGACUGAGGCCAUGCUUGUCGGUUAUAUCGGCUUACAUCCGCUCCGGGUGCAAGUCCCUAGUUGACACUUGGCUUCGGUGCGUUGUUGUCAUAAACGCCGAGAUCAUGAUCUUAUGAUUAUGUACCAGGGAGGGCUGUACCUUUUCUAGGAGGUGCGUCGCAACCGUCACUUGGAUGACCAGACGAACGAAGAGAGCUGCGGUAGCUCACCAUGGCUCGUUCUCGUGCCAACUUUGGUGUUCAACCGUUUACAAACUUCGUUACUCAACGAAUGGAGCAACACGCCACGCCCUGGCUUUAACACUCCAAAUGAACGUCAACAGGUCUUCAGUGACGACAAAUCAAUUCAAUAUUCCAUGCGGYUGAUUGAUGCGCUUACCCAUGUAUACGCUCGWUCUCAAGCUGGKUGCAACAAAUACGUGUUCGUCGAGUAUGUUUCCCUUGCGGKUACMACUCGAAAARUUGUUUUGGAGCUUUCGUAUAACGAAAGCCCGGCAAUCGAUCACGAAUGUUACACAUGCGCGAAGCAUGUUGUUGUAAUCUUCAGACUGAAAUACCGUUGGARCUGGUACGCCUCAACCGUGGGGCAACCAACCUCUGCUGUUUGAUGUGAUCUCAACGGUUACGUCAAGCAUAACUCAGGAUGAAUCGAUUGCGGCGAGUUGGCGACUUCGUUUCCCGCCCCGUUUUUGGGAAAACCCCGGAACCAAGGGAGUGUAGCAUGUGCGCGAGUUGGAUGGGCCAUCAACCCCUCAAGCGCAAUGAAAGUGAAGACGAAUGGCUAGCAUGGAUGCGCGUGCUUCCGCAUGUGUAUACAUUGCUGCCACCGUUGAGACGCGAUACUUGGCUUAACCAGUGUCAAGUGGCAGCGUCAACCCGCAUUAUUCGGCAUCAUUCCAUGUUUGCACCGGCUUCUGCUGAUGUGAGCAUGAGUGGUUGUCCUAGAUUAUGCGGAGUUAGAGCGUACAUGCUGCGACCC